UGCCUGAGUGGCGGAAUCGGUAGACGCAGGGGACUCAAAAUCCCCCGUGGGCAACCACGUGAGGGUUCGAGUCCCUCCUUAGGCACCAU
Molecule: transfer RNA, 89 nt
Filed under: Pyramidobacter piscolens W5455
Lineage: Bacteria; Thermotogati; Synergistota; Synergistia; Synergistales; Dethiosulfovibrionaceae
Description: tRNA-Leu
Rfam family: tRNA
About the family: Transfer RNA (tRNA) molecules are approximately 80 nucleotides in length. Their secondary structure includes four short double-helical elements and three loops (D, anti-codon, and T loops).
Source: RNAcentral